CCUACGGGGUGCAGCAGUCGAGAAUCAUUCACAAUGGGGGAAACCCUGAUGGUGCGACGCCGCGUGGGGGAAUGAAGGUCUUCGGAUUGUAAACCCCUGUCAUGUGGGAGCAAAUUAAAAAGAUCGUACCACACGAGGAAGAGACGGCUUACUCUGUGCCAGCAGCCGCGGUAAUACAGAGGUCUCAAGCGUUGUUCGGAAUCACUGGGCGUAAAGCGUGCGUAGGCUGUUUCGUAAGUCGUGUGUGAAAGGCGCGGGCUCAACCCGCGGACGGCACAUGAUACUGCGAGACUAGAGUAAUGGAGGGGGAACCGGAAUUCUCGGUGUAGCAGUGAAAUGCGUAGAUAUCGAGAGGAACACUCGUGGCGAAGGCGGGUUCCUGGACAUUAACUGACGCUGAGGCACGAAGGCCAGGGGAGCGAAAGGGAUUAGAUACCCCUGUAGUC
RNAcentral lists this ribosomal RNA (446 nucleotides) under uncultured bacterium. Its description in RNAcentral is "partial 16S ribosomal RNA". It matches the Rfam family "Bacterial small subunit ribosomal RNA", at positions 338 to 795 of the family's 1533-position model. The record is from RNAcentral.